This is a long non-coding RNA of Lycium barbarum (goji berry), 570 nucleotides long. RefSeq lists it as uncharacterized. NCBI's taxonomy places the organism in Eukaryota, Viridiplantae, Streptophyta, Magnoliopsida, Solanales, Solanaceae. The transcript has 2 exons. The record is from RefSeq and is a predicted model, not a curated record.
GGUUAACAUUGAAAGGACCAAACAUUUUCAGCAACUUUCCACUUCAUUUUCUAUUUCAAGAAUCAACGUUCAUCCUUGGAAGAGUGCAAAACGUUGCUAUCAAUUCUUAUGAACUUUGAAUAAGAAAAUUGAUAGAAGUUGCUUACGGUUGUAGCUCAUCUGGAGCCCUCAGCUAAGCACCAUUUUUUUUUUUGAAAGAAAGAUUAUAAUUUCCAGCAAGAAUUUUAAGAGGUCAAGCUUGCUAGUAAGGUUUUUCUUCCAGUUGUUGAGGUAGACAGGGAGGUGAGCUUGAUCCAGAUUCUUAGUAGCUGUCAGCUGAUUGAGAGCACUCCAUUGUUCGGAGGUGCUUAUGUUUAUUCUUUUGGUUCCUUCAUGUAUUUCGCGCACGACGGAGUCUUGUUCCGUCUAUAUGUAUAAUAUGUCAGUAGAGGCUCGUAGACGCGCAGUGUGGGUUAGAUUGUCUCACAAGAUUACUAUGUUAUAUUUGUAUAUGUUAUUUUGAUGGCCUAAGGGGCACAUGUAUAUAAAAUCAUUUGUGUUGUCAAAUGAAAAAUGGUUGUCUUAUGAUUA